UAGUCUGCUAAGAAUUCGUGAGAGGC
RNAcentral lists this non-coding RNA (26 nucleotides) under Rattus norvegicus (Norway rat). Lineage: Eukaryota; Metazoa; Chordata; Mammalia; Rodentia; Muridae. The record is from RNAcentral.